GCUGCAGCUUGUUGGCUGAAGAAAGCAAAUGAGAUUUGGGAUGAGAAGAAGCGAACCCUACAGCAACAGCUUGUGGUGGAGGGGAACAGAGAACUGUCGAGCACACUGAGCAUCAACAACAGAUGGAUUUUUGUGCAAAACAUGGUGCUGCAGUUAGAUGGGAAGGAAAAUGAUGGCUUUCUGUCUCAGCCUCAGAGCAGUCAGCAGGAAUAGAUGUGUUCUCCAUGCUUUGAACUGAAAGGACUUUUGUCCAUGCAAAAAAUUCUGUCUUCAACCUCCAAGGAGCUGAGAUUUUGGCAGCCUUCAGCCCCUAACACUUACUCACCACUGCCAGUUUUGCUUACCUGAGUUUGAUG
Pogoniulus pusillus (Red-fronted tinkerbird) is the source of this 356-nucleotide long non-coding RNA. RefSeq lists it as uncharacterized. Lineage: Eukaryota; Metazoa; Chordata; Aves; Piciformes; Lybiidae. The transcript has 2 exons. The record is from RefSeq and is a predicted model, not a curated record.